CCUACGGGGGACAGCAGUCGAGAAUCAUUCACAAUGGGGGAAACCCUGAUGGUGCGACGCCGCGUGGGGGAAUGAAGGUCUUCGGAUUGUAAACCCCUGUCAUGUGGGAGCAAAUUAAAAAGAUAGUACCACAAGAGGAAGAGACGGCUAACUCUGUGCCAGCAGCCGCGGUAAUACAGAGGUCUCAAGCGUUGUUCGGAAUCACUGGGCGUAAAGCGUGCGUAGGCUGUUUCGUAAGUCGUGUGUGAAAGGCGCGGACUCAACCCGCGGACGGCACAUGAUACUGCGAGACUAGAGUAAUGGAGGGGGAACCGGAAUUCUCGGUGUAGCAGUGAAAUGCGUAGAUAUCGAGAGGAACACUCGUGGCGAAGGCGGGUUCCUGGACAUUAACUGACGCUGAGGCACGAAGGCCAGGGGAGCGAAAGGGAUUAGAUACCCGAGUAGUC
RNAcentral lists this ribosomal RNA (446 nucleotides) under uncultured bacterium. Its description in RNAcentral is "partial 16S ribosomal RNA". It matches the Rfam family "Bacterial small subunit ribosomal RNA", at positions 338 to 795 of the family's 1533-position model. The record is from RNAcentral.